ACUCCUACGGGAGGCAGCAGUGGGGAAUUUUGCGCAAUGGGCGAAAGCCUGACGCAGCAACGCCGCGUGAGUGAUGAAGGCUUUCGGGUCGUAAAGCUCUGUCAGGGGGAAAGAAGUGUAUUGUGGCUAAUAUCCACGAUACUUGACGGUACCCCCAAAGGAAGCACCGGCUAACUCCGUGCCAGCAGCCGCGGUAAUACGGAGGGUGCAAGCGUUGUUCGGAAUUAUUGGGCGUAAAGCGCGUGUAGGCGGUUUGUUAAGUCUGAUGUGAAAGCCCCGGGCUCAACCCGGGAAGUGCAUUGGAGACUGGCAGACUUGAAUACGGGAGAGGGUAGUGGAAUUCCUAGUGUAGGAGUGAAAUCCGUAGAUAUUAGGAGGAACACCGGUGGCGAAGGCGGCUGCCUGGACCGAUAUUGACGCUGAGACGCGAAAGCGUGGGUAGCAAACAGGAUUAGAUACCCUGGUAGUCCACGCCGUAAACGAUGAGAACUAGGUGUUGCGGGUAA
RNAcentral lists this ribosomal RNA (506 nucleotides) under uncultured Geobacter sp. RNAcentral describes it as "bacterial SSU rRNA". It matches the Rfam family "Bacterial small subunit ribosomal RNA", at positions 335 to 832 of the family's 1533-position model. Lineage: Bacteria; Pseudomonadati; Thermodesulfobacteriota; Desulfuromonadia; Geobacterales; Geobacteraceae. The record is from RNAcentral.